CCUACGGGGGGCAGCAGUGGGGAAUAUUGGGCAAUGGAGGCAACUCUGACCCAGCAACGCCGCGUGAAUGAUGAAGUUCUUCGGAUUGUAAAGCUCUUUUCUAAGGGAAGAAGAUAGUGACGGUACCUUAGGAAUAAGCCUCGGCUAACUACGUGCCAGCAGCCGCGCUAAUACGUAGGAGGCAAGCGUUAUCCGGAAUGACUGGGCGUAAAGGGUGCGUAGGUGGUUAGACAAGUUAGUAGCGCAACUCCGGAGCUCAACUUCGGAACUACUACUAAAACUGUUGGACUUGAGUGCAGGAGGGGCAAGCGGAAUUCCUAGUGUAGCGGUGGAAUGCGUAGAUAUUAGGAGGAACACCAGUGGCGAAGGCGGAUUGCUGGACUGUAACUGACGCUGAGGCACGAAAGCGUGGGGAGCAAACAGGAUUAGAUACCCCUGUAGUC
This 443-nucleotide ribosomal RNA is filed under the name uncultured bacterium. RNAcentral's name for it is "partial 16S ribosomal RNA". It matches the Rfam family "Bacterial small subunit ribosomal RNA", at positions 338 to 795 of the family's 1533-position model. The record is from RNAcentral.